This 253-nucleotide ribosomal RNA is filed under the name uncultured bacterium. Its description in RNAcentral is "partial 16S ribosomal RNA". It matches the Rfam family "Bacterial small subunit ribosomal RNA", at positions 524 to 776 of the family's 1533-position model. The record is from RNAcentral.
UACGGGGGGGGUAAGCGUUGUUCGGAAUCACUGGGCUUAAAGGGCGCGUAGGCGGGCUGCCGAGUCCGGGGUGAAAUCCUCCCGCUCAACGGGAGAACGGCCCCGGGUACUGGCGGCCUCGAGGCGGGUAGGGGCGUGCGGAACACUGGGUGGAGCGGUGAAAUGCGUUGAUAUCCUAAGGAACACCCGUGGCGAAAGCGGCUCACUGGGUCUCUUCUGACGCUGAGGCACGAAAGCCAGGGUAGCGAACGGG